This 407-nucleotide ribosomal RNA is filed under the name uncultured bacterium. RNAcentral describes it as "partial 16S ribosomal RNA". It matches the Rfam family "Bacterial small subunit ribosomal RNA", at positions 30 to 526 of the family's 1533-position model. The record is from RNAcentral.
AUUGAACGCUGGCGGCAGGCCUAACACAUGCAAGUCGAGCGGAGCGGCGGACGGGUGAGUAAUGCCUAGGAAUCUGACUGGUCGUGGGGGAUAACGUCCGGAAAAGGGCACUAAUACCGCAUACUCUCAGAAGAGCCUAGGUCGGAAUAGCUAGAUGGUGGGGUAAAGGCCUAGCACGACGACGAUCCGUAACUGGUCUGAGAGGAUGAUCAGUCACACUGGAACUGAGACACGGUCCAGACUCCUACGGGAGGCAGCAGUGGGGAAUAUUGGACAAUGGGCGAAAGCCUGAUGCAGCCAUGCCGCGUGUGUGAAGAAGGUCUUCGGAUUGUAAAGCACUUUAAGUUGGGAGGCGUUACCAACAGAAUAAGCACCGGCUAACUUCGUGCCAGCAGCCGCGGUAAUAC